GAUGAACGCUAGCGGCAGGCUUAAUACAUGCGAGUCGAGGGGCAGCAGGACUGUAGCAAUACAGUUGCUGGCGACCGGCAAACGGGUGCGGAACACGUACGCAAUCUACCCGAAACUGGGGCAUAGCCCGGGGAAACCCGGAUUAAUACCCCGUAACACUUUGAAGUGGCAUCACUUUAUAGUUAUAGCUCCGGCGGUUUUGGAUGAGCGUGCGGCUGAUUAGGUAGUUGGCGGGGUAACGGCCCACCAAGCCUACGAUCAGUAACUGGUGUGAGAGCACGACCAGUCACACGGGCACUGAGACACGGGCCCGACUCCUACGGGAGGCAGCAGUAAGGAAUAUUGGUCAAUGGACGCAAGUCUGAACCAGCCAUGCCGCGUGGAGGAUGAAGGCCCUCUGGGUUGUAAACUUCUUUUAUAGGGGACGAAACCUCUUUUUCUUGAGAGACUGACGGUACCCUAGGAAUAAGCACCGGCUAACUCCGUGCCAGCCGCCGCCGUAA
Molecule: ribosomal RNA, 503 nt
Filed under: uncultured bacterium
Lineage: Bacteria
Description: partial 16S ribosomal RNA
Rfam family: Bacterial small subunit ribosomal RNA
Source: RNAcentral